This 630-nucleotide ribosomal RNA is filed under the name Pseudomonas sp. bubt14. Its description in RNAcentral is "bacterial SSU rRNA". It matches the Rfam family "Bacterial small subunit ribosomal RNA", at positions 36 to 661 of the family's 1533-position model. Lineage: Bacteria; Pseudomonadati; Pseudomonadota; Gammaproteobacteria; Pseudomonadales; Pseudomonadaceae. The record is from RNAcentral.
CUGGCGGCAGGCCUAACACAUGCAAGUCGAGCGGUAGAGAGGUGCUUGCACCUCUUGAGAGCGGCGGACGGGUGAGUAAUGCCUAGGAAUCUGCCUGGUAGUGGGGGAUAACGCUCGGAAACGGACGCUAAUACCGCAUACGUCCUACGGGAGAAAGCAGGGGACCUUCGGGCCUUGCGCUAUCAGAUGAGCCUAGGUCGGAUUAGCUAGUUGGUGAGGUAAUGGCUCACCAAGGCGACGAUCCGUAACUGGUCUGAGAGGAUGAUCAGUCACACUGGAACUGAGACACGGUCCAGACUCCUACGGGAGGCAGCAGUGGGGAAUAUUGGACAAUGGGCGAAAGCCUGAUCCAGCCAUGCCGCGUGUGUGAAGAAGGUCUUCGGAUUGUAAAGCACUUUAAGUUGGGAGGAAGGGCAGUUACCUAAUACGUAAUUGUUUUGACGUUACCGACAGAAUAAGCACCGGCUAACUCUGUGCCAGCAGCCGCGGUAAUACAGAGGGUGCAAGCGUUAAUCGGAAUUACUGGGCGUAAAGCGCGCGUAGGUGGUUCGUUAAGUUGGAUGUGAAAGCCCCGGGCUCAACCUGGGAACUGCAUUCAAAACUGUCGAGCUAGAGUAUGUAGUAGGGGUG